This 171-nucleotide ribosomal RNA is filed under the name uncultured bacterium. Its description in RNAcentral is "partial 16S ribosomal RNA". The stretch from base 1 to 79 matches the Rfam family "Bacterial small subunit ribosomal RNA", at positions 796 to 873 of the family's 1533-position model. The record is from RNAcentral.
CACGCCGUAAACGAUGAGUGCUAGAUGUUUCUGGUAUUGACCCCGGAGGCGUCGUAGCUAACGCGUUAAGCACUCCGCCUGGGGANCGCGAAGAACCUUACCUGGGUUGGAACCCUCCAGAAGUCCGCAGAGAUGUGGAUGUGCUCGCAAGAGAACUGGAUGUCCAGGUGC